CCUACGGGUGGCAGCAGUGAGGAAUAUUGGUCAAUGGGCGCGAGCCUGAACCAGCCAAGUCGCGUGAGGGAAGACGGUCCUAUGGAUUGUAAACUUCUUUUGUCUGGGAGCAAAAGACUCCACGCGUGGGGUUCCGAGAGUACCCGAUGAAAAAGCAUCGGCUAACUCCGUGCCAGCAGCCGCGGUAAUACGGAGGAUGCGAGCGUUAUCCGGUUUUAUUGGGUUUAAAGGGUGCUCAGGCGGAAGAUCAAGUCAGCGGUAAAAUUGGGGGGCUCAACCUCUUAGAGCCGUUGAAACUGGUUGUCUUGAGUGAGUGAGAAGUAUGCGGAAUGCGUGGUGUAGCGGUGAAAUGCAUAGAUAUCACGAAGAACUCCGAUUGCGAAGGCAGCAUACCGGCGCUCAACUGACGCUGAUGCACGAAAGUGUGGGUAUCGAACAGGAUUAGAUACCCGAGUAGUC
RNAcentral lists this ribosomal RNA (459 nucleotides) under uncultured bacterium. RNAcentral's name for it is "partial 16S ribosomal RNA". It matches the Rfam family "Bacterial small subunit ribosomal RNA", at positions 338 to 795 of the family's 1533-position model. The record is from RNAcentral.